AUAAAUAACACACAAAUUAGUAAAGUCAAGUUUUUGUUUGAAACACAGUAAAACAGCGCGCUUUUUUCAAAAACUGGUGUGAUUCGUCCGUGGAAUUGGACAUUGAAUCUCAAAAUGAUCAUAAUAUAUUUUUUGUUUGUUUUAAACGCGAUCCCCUGAUAGAAUAGAAUAGCCAUAGAAUUGCUCUGUCAUAUUUUUUUGCUAAUUAACACCCGAGUGUUUUUUGCCCAGUUAUAUUUUUGCUUAUUUUUAUCACCCGAUGAGUGUUUCUGUCCCGUCAAAUUUUGCCUUUUUUCGCUAAUUGUUCACUCGGUUAUUUCCUCCCUCUGAUUGAUGUUGCGCUAUAUCCUUCGAGGUUCACGUGGGUAAAGGUCAGUUAUUAAGAAACUCAUAAAUAAUCAUAUAGAACCAAAUUAAUUCCGGCCCGCUGUAGACUUAUAUCAACAUUGUGAAUCAAGCCCUUAAAUGAUACAAACUUUUGCAUUUUGCUUUUAUUGUUGUCAUUCUUCUGACAGGUAUUGAGAUUAGUUGAUCGAAGUGUUACCUGGAAUGCCGAGCCUACGACGCUCCCCGUGGAGAUCGAUGCUCAAAAAGCAUCGAUCUCCACAGGGGCCGGGGUCAAAAAUUCCGUUGUUAAGAGCGUGCGGCUUGUUAUGACACUAUCUUACGUUCUGUAAUCAACAUCACCUAAUCAGAAUCCGCUAUUUUGCAUACGUCAUUCACCCCUUGCUGGCUGCCUGGGAUGUCGCCGACUUGUACUGGUUCUCGUUGGAUUGUACCGGUUGCAUUUUCUUAGCGAAUCUCCGUGAUUUUAGGGAAUUUUAUCGAAUUUUAGUGAUCAAAUCAAAAUGAUCUCCAAGAAAUUUGUUGUUGUGGAGUGGCUGAACAACGCAGAGGAUCGUUGCGAGUUAACAGUUCUCAGGGGAAGUGAAGUUUUGCGCCAGGGUGGUUUGGUAUCGGUGGUAUUCAUUGCAUUGCAGCAGAUAACACACCAAGACUUUACGAGGCAGAAGUGUUGCAAAACUUCGACUCACAGCGCAAGGCAAGCAGUUUGAAAACGAGCUGCUUGAGGGAGGCAACGACAGCGUUGACCGAGGUUUACAAAGAUGUUCCUGCAGAGGAUCAGCCCAGUCCAGUGUCACAACAAAAGCAGAAAAUUAAAUAUCUGUCAAAGCCCCUGGAAGGGGUGAAGAGGCUCCUGUCAGACCUCUUUACCGAAGAAGAGCUCAUGCGGUGCACACUGAAGGGGAAGGGAAGGACCAGCAACAAGAUGCAGAUAAUUUAUGGUGCAAUGAGGGGAAAUUACGGAAUGACUGAUGAGAAAAUGGACCAGGAGAAGAUUAGAUUAGAAAUCAGCAAAAAUCCUUAAAAGACAAAACCAAAAAAGUCUUCAGUAAAGCUAAGUGAAAUGUCCAUUGUUGGUGUAAAAUGUCCGCUUAAGUAGGUUUUUUAAUCAUAGAGAUAUUUUAGCUUGCCUUAUAUACCAACUUUUUGUCGAAUUUGGUUUUGUCUUUUAACGAUUUUUGCUGAUUUCUAUAACGUUAUAGAAGUCACUGUUCACGUUGUAUCCGAAAAUUAUAAAGUUGAUUAUCAAAUUUUGAGAUAAUUGUAAAUUUGUUCUGUAUUCUAAAAAUAAAAUUAUUUGCUGGAAAAUAUUGCUAGCUAUUUGUAAUAAAUUACCGGAUAUCCAA
This is a long non-coding RNA of Nematostella vectensis (starlet sea anemone), 1691 nucleotides long. RefSeq lists it as uncharacterized. Lineage: Eukaryota; Metazoa; Cnidaria; Anthozoa; Actiniaria; Edwardsiidae. The transcript is spliced from 5 exons. The record is from RefSeq and is a predicted model, not a curated record.